Molecule: ribosomal RNA, 672 nt
Filed under: Gelidium sp. LLG-2014
Lineage: Eukaryota; Rhodophyta; Florideophyceae; Gelidiales; Gelidiaceae
Description: eukaryotic LSU rRNA
Rfam family: Eukaryotic large subunit ribosomal RNA
Source: RNAcentral
GAGGGUGAAAAGAACCUGAAACCGUUACGGGGGAAGCGGAUUGCAUUAUUCUAGUUUUAACGUGUUCAACCUUUUAGGUGCAUUGACGUUAAAACUUAUCUGCUGUGGAUUUUUGAUAAUUGAAAAUGAAUUAUUAAAGAUUGAGGGCUCCACUUUGUGUGAGGACAGCGGAUUGACGAUGCGAUACGACCCGUCUUGAAACACGGACCAAGGAGUCUAGCGCGGGUGCGAGUCGGAAGGUGUAAAAACCUGUGGGCGAAGUGAAAGCGAGAUAAAACUCUCAGUUUGAGGCGGCAUAUUUUCGUUGAAAAUAGGUCCGACCUUGAGCAGUUGCGCUGGGACCCGAAAGAUGGUGAACUAUGCCGGAGUAGGGCAAAGCCAGAGGAAACUCUGGUGGAGGCUCGUAGCGGUGCUGACGUGCAAAUCGCUCGUCGAACUUGGGUAUAGGGGCGAAAGACUAAUCGAACCAUCUAGUAGCUGGUUUCCUCCGAAGUUUCUCUCAGGAUAGCGGGCCGACAUAGUGUUGUUUUGUGCGGUAAAGCGAAUGAUUAGCGUAUUUGGGGACAUUUUGUCUUCAGACGAUUCUCAAACUUUCAAUGCGCAAGGGUGUUGCUGCUUAAUUGAGCUUCACCGGUAAAAACGUCGGCCCUGUGGGCCACUUUUGGUAAGCAG